UACAGAGGGUGCGAGCGUUAAUCGGAAUUACUGGGCGUAAAGCGUGCGUAGGUGGUUUCUUAAGCUGGAUGUGAAAGCCCCGGGCUUAACCUGGGAACUGCAUUCAGGACUGGGAAACUCGAGUCUGGGAGAGGGUGGUGGAAUUUCCGGUGUAGCGGUGAAAUGCGUAGAUAUGCGGAGGAACACCAAUGGCGAAGGCAAUCCCCUGGGCCUGUACUGACGCUCAUGCACGAAAGCGUGGGGAGCAAACAGGAUUAGAAACCCGAGUAGU
RNAcentral lists this ribosomal RNA (271 nucleotides) under uncultured bacterium. RNAcentral's name for it is "partial 16S ribosomal RNA". It matches the Rfam family "Bacterial small subunit ribosomal RNA", at positions 524 to 794 of the family's 1533-position model. The record is from RNAcentral.